RNAcentral lists this ribosomal RNA (322 nucleotides) under uncultured Cercozoa. RNAcentral describes it as "SSU rRNA". The stretch from base 112 to 322 matches the Rfam family "Eukaryotic small subunit ribosomal RNA", at positions 744 to 955 of the family's 1831-position model. The record is from RNAcentral. RNAcentral also lists the same sequence under 1 other name. Lineage: Eukaryota; Cercozoa.
GAUUUCUGGUUUGCUACAUUUAGCCGGCCACGGUUUCGUGUGUUAGUGCUAGAUGUUCUGGCCAUCCUUCCAAUCGCUAUUUACUUUUCUUCAUUGAUUAGUGAGUGGUAUUGGAUCUUUUACUUUGAAAAAAUUAGAGUGUUUCAAGCAGGCUUUAUGCUAUGAAUACAUUAGCAUGGAAUAAUAAUUUAGGACUUCGGUUCUAUUUUGUUGGUUUCUAGGACUGAAGUAAUGAUUGAUAGGGAUAGUUGGGGGUGCUAGUAUUCAGCGGCCAGAGGUGAAAUUCUCGGAUUCGCUGAAGACUAACUUAUGCGAAAGCAUU